UACAGAGGUCUCAAGCGUUGUUCGGAAUCACUGGGCGUAAAGGGUGCGUAGGCUGCACGGUAAGUCAGGUGUGAAAGCCCGGAGCUCAACUCCGGAAUUGCACCCGAUACUGCCGUGCUUGAGGACUGGAGAGGAGUCUGGAAUUCACAGUGGAGCAGUGAAAUGCGUAGAUAUUGUGAGGAACACUAGUGGCGAAGGCGAGACUCUGGACAGUUCCUGACGCUGAGGCACGAAGGCCAGGGGAGCAAACGGG
RNAcentral lists this ribosomal RNA (253 nucleotides) under uncultured bacterium. Its description in RNAcentral is "partial 16S ribosomal RNA". It matches the Rfam family "Bacterial small subunit ribosomal RNA", at positions 524 to 776 of the family's 1533-position model. The record is from RNAcentral.